CCUACGGGAGGCAGCAGUGGGGGAUAUUGCACAAUGGGGGGAACCCUGAUGCAGCGACGCCGCGUGGGUGAAGAAGCGCCUCGGCGCGUAAAGCCCUGUCAGCAGGGAAGAAAAUGACGGUAUCUGAAGCAGAAGCUCCGGCUAACUACGUGCCAGCAGCCGCGGUAAUACGGAGGGGGCAAGCGUUAUCCGGAUUUACUGGGUGUAAAGGGGGCGCAGACGGCGAUGCAAGCCAGGAGUGAAAGCCCGGGGCCCAACCCCGGGACUGCUGUUGGAACUGCGUGGCUGGAGUGCAGGAGGGGCAGGCGGAAUUCGUGGUGUAGCGGUGAAAUGCGUAGAUAUCAGGAGGAACACCGGUGGCGAAGGCGGCCUGCUGGACUGCAACUGACGUUGAGGCCCGAAAGCGUGGGGAGCAAACAGGAUUAGAUACCCUUGUAGUC
This 440-nucleotide ribosomal RNA is filed under the name uncultured bacterium. RNAcentral's name for it is "partial 16S ribosomal RNA". It matches the Rfam family "Bacterial small subunit ribosomal RNA", at positions 338 to 795 of the family's 1533-position model. The record is from RNAcentral.